AUUGAACGCUGGCGGCAUGCUUUACACAUGCAAGUCGGACGGCAGCACAGAGAAGCUUGCUUCUUGGGUGGCGAGUGGCGAACGGGUGAGUAACAUAUCGGAACGUACCGAGCAGUGGGGGAUAACUAAUCGAAAGAUUAGCUAAUACCGCAUAUCUUCUGAGGAAGAAAGCAGGGGACCAUUUGGCCUUGCGCUGUUUGAGCGGCCGAUAUCUGAUUAGCUAGUUGGUGGGGUAAAGGCCUACCAAGGCGACGAUCAGUAGCGGGUCUGAGAGGAUGAUCCGCCACACUGGGACUGAGACACGGCCCAGACUCCUCGGGAGGCAGCAGUGGGGAAUUUUGGACAAUGGGCGCAAGCCUGAUCCAGCCAUGCCGCGUGUCUGAAGAAGGCCUUCGGGUUGUAAAGGACUUUUGUCAGGGAAGAAAAGGGCGGGGUUAAUACCCCUGUCUGAUGACG
Molecule: ribosomal RNA, 456 nt
Filed under: Neisseria sicca
Lineage: Bacteria; Pseudomonadati; Pseudomonadota; Betaproteobacteria; Neisseriales; Neisseriaceae
Description: bacterial SSU rRNA
Rfam family: Bacterial small subunit ribosomal RNA
Source: RNAcentral